Ictalurus furcatus (blue catfish) is the source of this 267-nucleotide long non-coding RNA. RefSeq lists it as uncharacterized. The transcript is spliced from 2 exons. The record is from RefSeq and is a predicted model, not a curated record. Lineage: Eukaryota; Metazoa; Chordata; Actinopteri; Siluriformes; Ictaluridae.
AAACCCAAAUCUAUCCCCAACUCAUCAUGGAGAAAGUGCAGUCCAGAAGACAUGAGCUGACGGAGACGCGUCGAUAUCAGGUCGGCCUGUUCCGACACUACGCCUCCCCAGCUCGAUGCCAUCUUACCACAUUCUCACACAAACAGCAGCACAGAGGACGGAAAUCCUGAAUCACCAGCUGAGGAGCAAAAUGCUGACGUUUUUUCAAAUUAAAACAAGCCACUAUAAUAAAGUGAUUAAAAAUAAAUAAAUAAAUACAUACCACAA